UACGUAGGGGGCGAGCGUUGUCCGGAAUCAUUGGGCGUAAAGAGCGUGUAGGCGGCUUGGCAAGUCUGACGUGAAAGCCCGCGGCUCAACCGCGGAUUGUCGUUGGAAACUGCCUCGCUAGAGUCCGGAAGAGGAGAGCGGAAUUCCUGGUGUAGCGGUGGAAUGCGCAGAUAUCAGGAAGAACACCAGUGGCGAAGGCGGCUCACUGGCCCGGUACUGACGCUGAGGUGCGAAAGCGUGGGGAGCAAACAGG
Molecule: ribosomal RNA, 253 nt
Filed under: uncultured bacterium
Lineage: Bacteria
Description: partial 16S ribosomal RNA
Rfam family: Bacterial small subunit ribosomal RNA
Source: RNAcentral